This 2013-nucleotide long non-coding RNA is filed under the name Cottoperca gobio. RNAcentral's name for it is "lncRNA (ENSCGOG00000007981.1)". The stretch from base 1803 to 1868 matches the Rfam family "tRNA". Lineage: Eukaryota; Metazoa; Chordata; Actinopteri; Perciformes; Bovichtidae. The record is from RNAcentral.
CAAUGCUACUUCUCAAGGCAUCUCUACACCAAUUGCUCAUGCUGUGCCAGAUACAAGGCCCAGUGUUUCUGAGUUUAUAGUUCAAAGAGAAAUAAUGCCAUUUGUUGGCUCUAGUUCCCCUGGACUGCUUUUCUCAGGGAAUAGGGCCACUUCAGUGAGGCAAAACUCUACCAGUUCUGCACAACCAGAAGCUGGGUUUCAAUCUGCCUCACAAGAUGCCAACUGGGCUGUUGCAUCUCCUCCUGAUCUGUUCUACGGCGGUGAGGAAAUGUCGACUGGCACUCGUGGUGUUGUCUCCAGUCGACCCAAGAAGCUGAGUCUCCUUCAACCAAUGUACCAGGCAGGGGAGUUGUCCAAUUAUGAGCUAAGCAAUGAGCACGGUGACUUCGAGAGGGAGACCGAGGAACAAGGCUGGUGGCCUCAGCAACCACGUCCUAUGCAAGAGUCUGCUGGACAAGGCUUCGCCAGCCAACCUCGUCCAGUCUUCAACAUGGGUAGAAGCUUGAGCCCUUAUCAUUACUACGACUUCUCUUUCCUUACCGGCCAGUAUCCUCCAGGCACAUUCAGUCAUGCCAGCAGCAGCUACGAGCAGGGAAGAGACUACUGGCAAGACGUUCACUAUAUGAAAGACUCUGGUACCUCUAACCCCAGACCUGAACAGCAGAUCCAGACCUUCACUGGUGACUUUGGAGCUCCCCAGAGCAUUGAGUAUCCCAGUACGCCUGUGGGAAGUCCUGUGAUGUCUGGUUAUGGACAGGGUGGUGCUCAGCCUGGUCUAGAAGCUUCUUCCCCUCAACACUUCUGGCAGUCAAGCCGUUGGCCAAAUCAUGCCUAUUAGCGGUGUGGAUCCCUACAGCAUGAACAAAGUUUUCGGAUGAAUAAAGCUUUUGUAAUUUACUCUUGCUUCAAGAUUGUUUCUCUUGACUAAAGGAGCCCCGUGCCAAAGUGGCACAAAAUGAAAUUGUCAAAAAAACCUAUGACUAAUGAUGUUCCACUGCAUGGUAUGCCACAGCUCUACUCUUGGACUCUCUUUGGCUUCCAUUGGGAGAACCUGUGGAUGGUACCUAGUUUAUUUUUUUGGUACUACCUUGGUCAAUGUUUUGUAAGCAGAUGCUAAGAGGUGGUGGUGGUAAAACCCUGCACACCAGACUACACGAAAAAUCAGACUGUGGUAGCACAAUUUAUAACUAACACUACAAACCAGUUAAGCUGAUUCUUGCAGCUCAAUUUCUCUGCAUGCCUUGUUAUAGAGUCAAAUAAACUCUAUCCUCUCUAUGUGCUGACAUAAAAGUGCUUAUCAGGCUCAGUUGAUUGGAUCUAGAAACAGAACUCAUGGGGAAAUGGUAACAAUACAGACUCAAGAUGUAUGACAGUUGGAUGAGAUCACGGUCAGACAGAGGUGACUGUGCAAUGCGUCUGACUCAGCUCAGAAGAGUUGGUGUUAAAAUCAAAUCCGGGUCAAACCGCUAUGUCUGCCUUUGCAUUAAUGGCUUAUUAGACUAAUACAGAUUUACAUUGAGCAGUGGAGGUGAUAUCACCUUGAUGUGCCUGCUCGAUUUGUGUGAUUGAUCAAAUAUAUUUUCUGUGAUAUUUAGAAGUGCUCAGCAGUUCCAGUUAUUUGUGUUAAACAUGUGAUUAGACUAGAUUUACAAUUGCAGCUUACUCUUCAGUUUGACCAUUAUUUAUUUUUGUGUGAUCAAUUGAAUGAUAACCCAUCCUUAUGUAUCCGUUUUGUGACAUGUAAAAAGUGCUUAGAAGGCCCUGUUGAUCGAUAUAAAGUCCCAUCUAAGCAAGUGAAAGCAGACUCUGUGGUGCAGCACUUCUGACUCGAGAUCAGAAUGAUGCAUGUUCAAAUUCCAUCAGGGUCAAUCUACCACAAUGUGCUGUGACUUCUAUUAACAUAACAGAUGGUUAGACUCAUUUAUAACUAACACUACCAACAAAUUAGCAGGCUCCCACUUUCUCUACAUGCCUUGCUAUGUAUUUGUUACUAAUUCCAAUAAAAAAAACACU